RNAcentral lists this ribosomal RNA (597 nucleotides) under Triticum aestivum (bread wheat). Its description in RNAcentral is "partial small subunit ribosomal RNA". The record is from RNAcentral. Lineage: Eukaryota; Viridiplantae; Streptophyta; Magnoliopsida; Poales; Poaceae.
AUGAAGGUUAUCUCGGCAAUUCAGGAUAAGUGGCCUAACGAUGAUGAGGGAGCAACAAUAUUCAUCCAACAGGAUAACGCAAAGCCUCAUGUCCUUCCCAAUGAUGUAGCUUUUCGAGAAGCUGUGGAAAAAACUGAUCUUGACAUCCGAUUGCUACAACAGCCCCCAAAUAGCCCUGAGUUAAAUUGUUUGGACCUCUGCUUCCAUAACUCUCUCCAGUCUCUAACCGACUGCAGGUCACCUACAAACAUCCAGGAACUGGUACAGGGUGUGGAAGAGGAAUUCGAGAACUAUGAUCCCGACAAGUUGCACAGAAGCUUUAUCACAUUAGAAGCAGUUAUGUUUGAAGUUAUGAAAGACAAAGGAGGAAAUCAAUAUAAGUUGCCCCACUUGCACAAGGAUCGCGUUCAGAAUGCUGGAAUGGAAAUAACCGGUGUAUAUUGCGACAGUCGGGUAGUUGUUGAUACUAGGGCCCUUAUAGAAGAAAUGGAAAUUGCAAUAGGAAAAGAAAAUGAAAGCAAAGAAUUAGCUAGAGAAGGGAAAAGAAAGAAAAGUAAAGGGAAGGGAAGGGAAGAAGUGGCCAGAGAAAGAAUGUAG